Molecule: ribosomal RNA, 874 nt
Filed under: Dothideomycetes sp. 11223
Lineage: Eukaryota; Fungi; Ascomycota; Dothideomycetes
Description: eukaryotic LSU rRNA
Rfam family: Eukaryotic large subunit ribosomal RNA (bases 344-874)
Source: RNAcentral
UGCGGAAGGAUCAUUAUCGAUGGCCGCGCCGUGAGCGCCCUGGUGCAGGAUCGGCCGGCCACUGACCACACCCUUACUUUACGAGCACCUUUCGUUCUCCUUCGGCGGGGCAACCCGCCGCUGGAACCUCAUCAAACCUUUUUUUGCAUCUAGCAUUACCUGUUCUGAUAAAAAACAAUCGUAACAACUUUCAACAAUGGAUCUCUUGGCUCUGGCAUCGAUGAAGAACGCAGCGAAAUGCGAUAAGUAGUGUGAAUUGCAGAAUUCAGUGAAUCAUCGAAUCUUUGAACGCACAUUGCGCCCCUUGGUAUUCCAUGGGGCAUGCCUGUUCGAGCGUCAUCUACACCCUCAAGCUCUGCUUGGUGUUGGGCGUCUGUCCCACCUCUGCGCGCGGACUCGCCCCAAUUUGGGGUCCGAGUUGUAAUUUGCAGAGGGUGCUUUGGCAUCGGCGGCGGUCUAAGUUCCUUGGAACAGGACAUGGCAGAGGGUGAGAAUCCCGUACGUGGGCGCCUGCCUUUGCCGUGUAAAGCCCCUUCGACGAGUCGAGUUGUUUGGGAAUGCAGCUCUAAAUGGGAGGUAAAUUUCUUCUAAAGCUAAAUACCGGCCAGAGACCGAUAGCGCACAAGUAGAGUGAUCGAAAGAUGAAAAGUACUUUGGAAAGAGAGUCAAAUAGCACGUGAAAUUGUUGAAAGGGAAGCGCUUGCAGCCAGACUUGCCCGCAGUUGCUCACCCAGGCUCCGGCCUGGGGCACUCUUCUGCGGGCAGGCCAGCAUCAGUUUGGGCGGUUGGAUAAAGGCCUCUGUCACGUAUCUCCCUUCGGGGUGACCUUAUAGGGGAGGCGCAAUGCAACCAGCCCGGACUGGGUCCGCGCAUC